Long non-coding RNA from Aquila chrysaetos chrysaetos, 1224 nucleotides. RefSeq lists it as uncharacterized. NCBI's taxonomy places the organism in Eukaryota, Metazoa, Chordata, Aves, Accipitriformes, Accipitridae. The transcript has 2 exons. The record is from RefSeq and is a predicted model, not a curated record.
GCUGCCCGCCCGGCCGGCCGGCGACCGGUCACAGCCGUUCCGGCGAGGAGGACGGGCAGCGGGCGGCCUCUGCCACCCGCGGUAUCUGGUAGUGACGGGAAGGCGGGAGCAGGGCAGAGCGGUUCCUACCAGCCCUUCGGCGAUCUGCCGCCCGGGCUCCCCGCCAGCGAGCUCCUGGUUAGCCAAGGUGCGAGGUCUCAGGGCGGUCGGUCGCGCCUUGGCCGCAGACGUGGCUGGUCCGGUGUCGGGCGAGGCGAAGGGUGCGAGGGCAGCCCGCCUCGUUACUCGGUGUGACUCAAGCCUGAGUAGCGUGUGUUGGAAAACAUGUGGGAACUCCUCGCUUGAAGUGUCCGCUCUCGAGCGGGGAGCUGGAGCAGCUGUCCCUUUGCACGCUGCCUGCUGCGUUCGUGAAACCCGAACGCUCACCCAGAAAACGUCGGUAGGGGAAAAUAACAAGCUUUCCCGGUUACUGGCUGGAUACGCAGGAAGAGCCAAGAGUGAUUUUUCUAGGGAGAGCUGACUUAGCAUAGGUGAGGCCAACAGCAUGCCUGUGCGAAGGGACCGGGAGGGUGAAUCCCUCUGGAUUCACUCAAUCAAACUCCCUUUUAGCCCGGGAUAGAUGGCAUUUCCUUGAAAAACAAGUACAUAUGUCCUCCAGCAUAACUUAUUCAGGAGCUCUGAUCUUUGUGGACAGUUAAGUAUGGGAUACCAUUUCAGGACUGUGUCUCAAACCGGAGCUUCUAUAGUCUGUAAAUACAUUUCUUUUUCUUCAGCAUAGACCAGCUUUAUGGUAAAUAAUGAUGGUUGCAGAAAGCAAAGUUUUCUCUGUGAUUUUGUGUCAAUGAAGACCUCUGACUUUGAGAAUCGAAUAGGAAGGGUGUUCUUAGUCUAAUGUGUUCUUGCUAAUCAGUUCAGCUGGUGUGUAUAUAUGUGACAUGGGGUUUUUCUCUUUGCGGCACAAAUAGCCUGUCCUGUUAACAUGGUUACUAAACUUUCCAAAAUCAAAUAUGUAGUGAGGGUCCUGUGACAUGCUUAAUUCUUACCUGAAAGAGGUUAACUCAACUUUUUGUGGUUACGUGGAACAAGAGUUACUGGCAUCAGACUUAGUUGUAGCUGAAGCAUUUGUUAUGCCUGUCUGCACUGACACUGGAGCAAACACUGGAGUGUUUGUGGAAAGUUACAACUGUAAAUUUCAAGGCAGUUGGAAAUGACAGCUAAAGAAAA